This 453-nucleotide ribosomal RNA is filed under the name uncultured bacterium. RNAcentral describes it as "bacterial SSU rRNA". It matches the Rfam family "Bacterial small subunit ribosomal RNA", at positions 335 to 784 of the family's 1533-position model. The record is from RNAcentral.
ACUCCUACGGGAGGCAGCAGUGGGGAAUAUUGCACAAUGGGCGCAAGCCUGAUGCAGCCAUGCCGCGUGUGUGAAGAAGGCCUUCGGGUUGUAAAGCACUUUCAGUCGUGAGGAAGGUGGUAGUGUUAAUAGCACUAUCAUUUGACGUUAGCGACAGAAGAAGCACCGGCUAACUCCGUGCCAGCAGCCGCGGUAAUACGGAGGGUGCGAGCGUUAAUCGGAAUUACUGGGCGUAAAGCGCAUGCAGGUGGUUGUUAAGUCAGAUGUGAAAGCCCGGGGCUCAACCUCGGAAUAGCAUUUGAAACUGGCAGACUAGAGUACUGUAGAGGGGGUAGAAUUUCAGGUGUAGCGGUGAAAUGCGUAGAGAUCUGAAGGAAUACCGGUGGCGAAGGCGGCCCCUGGACAGAUACUGACACUCAGAUGCGAAAGCGUGGGAGCAAACAGGAUUAGAUA